RNAcentral lists this long non-coding RNA (1500 nucleotides) under Capra hircus (goat). RNAcentral describes it as "lncRNA (ENSCHIG00000005216.1)". The record is from RNAcentral. Lineage: Eukaryota; Metazoa; Chordata; Mammalia; Artiodactyla; Bovidae.
GGGGAAAGGAAUGUAUGUAUAAGUGCCAAUCAUUUUACCAAGCUGUUAGUUCUUGAGGCUGAAUACCAGGAGCUGUUUUGGCAGCUAGUAUAAUAGAAGUAACAGGGAAUGGCAAGAGAAGGCUGUUCCAGUUUCUCUUUCUCUGACUACCCAGGAUUGAAAGAUGUUGUUUCAGCUGGAGAAUUUAAAACGGGUUCUUACUCACUUUUUGCUAAAAGAGACUGGGCUGCUUUCAGUGUUGUAAUCCAUAGGCAUGGAGAAGGGUCACCACCUGAUCUUGUUAAGGAGAUCAUGAGGUUAAAGCUGUGGCAGGGUCCUUUCUCAAAACUCUGGCUCUUCUCAGAAUAAUGUUUGGCCAGGUGUUAAUCUGUGUCCUGAGGGGAAGUUCUGGAAUUCGUUAUUCAUCCCUGGGGGUAGGGGUAGGAGGAGGAGUUGCCCUUCUGGGAGGGGACUGGGGCCAGGACCUGCCUCCUGCCUUUACUGACAUGUGCCAUUUGUGAUGAAGGCGGCUGAAGCCCAUUUGAGGAGUUCUCCUGUCAGCCAGCCAAGAGAGCAACCCAGAGGGAGAGAGAGAGGAGGGAGAGGCAGACUGCUCUGCAAGGCAGUCCUGGAGUGCAGUUUCCGGAGCGAUAUCGCACCGCGCUGUAGGCGCCAAGGGAAGGUGUAUAGGAACAUUAGGCGGAAGGAGGCCAGAUUAAUAGUGCAUUUUCCUGUGUCUUUGCCUUCAGCCCCUCCUUUGAAUACAUGUCAUCCUUUGGAAAACUCAGCAUCUGGAAGAAGCCUUUGCUGAAAAGCGGCUUUUUCUUCUGCAUUCUACUGUUUUUGUUUUUUCUCUUCCUCUUUUUAUUUUUAUUUUUUUCCUAUCUCCUUUUCCUCUGAGAGCAGGAGGUGAGACAAUGAUCAAGUCAAGCUGGUUCUAUGUUAAGUUCAAGUAUGCAGAGAAGCUCAAGCCAGGGCAGAACAGCUGCAGGGACAGUGACAGUGAGAGCGCCAGUGGAGAAUCCAAAGGCUUCCACAGGAGCAGCUCCCGGGAAAGGCUCAGCGACAGUUCAGCUCCUUCCAGCUUGGGAACAGGCUACUUCGCUGCAGUUCUGUAGCUUGGGUAACGGUCAGAGGAACUCUAAUGCCAGAACAAAUGAUGCUGCUAAACGGAAAGAGCAGGAGUCUUCUCUCUACAAAAUGCCUCACAAAGGAGACUUUCUUUGCUCCUCUUGGUACAUGUGACUUAUGACAGAGAAGCACAGAGGAAGGAAAGCUGCUGUGGUGAGAGCAAGGCUGAUUCCUUUAAAAAAGGUAAUACAGAAAGGCUGUCUUUUAAUAGAAACUUUGGGUUUGCUGAUUUAAAGCAGCAACAUAGUUGCAUUCUAGAGAUUUUAGAAAAUGUCAAAGAAAAAAUUGCACUUCUAAUAAAACUAAGAGGUGAUCACUCUUACCAUUUUAGGAUAUAAGCACUUUAGUCUUCCUUCUUUCAAGGUCAUUAAAAAUUUUCCAUAGCUUGAU